CUGGAACGGAAAAGACUGCAUACCUUCAAGCUUCAUCCCGAUUUCAAAAGGAAAAAAACAAAAAGCUUCAUCCCGGGCUAGCAUCCCCGUUGUCUCCCAUUGCCUGGCUUGGUUGUUCUGAAGUGUGCCACUCUUGCGCCCCGUCUCCGUUCAUUCAGAUUCGCGCGUCUUCGUCUCUUCGCUCUCUCCAGCCGCGCCGUACACCGGCAAGCCGCCAUGUACAAUACACAUUCUUUGUGCGGACGGCCAACAGCACGGGAGGAAAGCACAGAUCAAUAUCGUCACCUAACUGAACAAACCAGUGCUGUACCAACGGAUCCUUCUCAACGCAAACGUUACCGUGAUCGGGUUAGGUAUAUGCAGAUGACGCCACAACAGAGAGAAGCUUAUUUGAAAAGGAAUCGUGAGUACAAACGAAUCAAGCGAGGUGACAGUGCAAUUAGUAAGACUGUGCAACCCGUAAGAUGGGAGACCAGUAUGAGUACCAAUGAUAACACACACUUGCCAACUGA
This is a long non-coding RNA of Triticum aestivum (bread wheat), 512 nucleotides long. RefSeq lists it as uncharacterized. The record is from RefSeq and is a predicted model, not a curated record. The transcript has 3 exons. Lineage: Eukaryota; Viridiplantae; Streptophyta; Magnoliopsida; Poales; Poaceae.